This 1646-nucleotide long non-coding RNA is filed under the name Marmota monax (woodchuck). The stretch from base 420 to 480 matches the Rfam family "tRNA", at positions 6 to 65 of the family's 71-position model. The record is from RNAcentral. Lineage: Eukaryota; Metazoa; Chordata; Mammalia; Rodentia; Sciuridae.
GAAAAGAAGAGCUCAAACUAUUCCAAUUUGCUGCCAACAUGAUUCUAUAUCUAGAAGACCCAAAAAACUCCACUAGAAAGCUUCUAUAACUCAUAAACAAAUUCAGCAAAGUAUCAGGAUACAAAAAUUAACAUCCAUAAAUCAGUUGCAUUCCUAUAUACCAAUGACGAAUCAGCUGAAAGAGAAAUCAGGAAAACUAUCCCUUUCACAAUAGCCAAAAAAACAAAAAAACAGAACAAAAAGAAAAAAAACAAAAGCAAAAAAACUUGGGAAUCAAUCUAACAAAAGAGGUGAAACACCUCUGCAAUGAAAACUACAGAACACUAAAGAAAGCAAUCGAAGAAGACCUUAGAAGAUGGAAAGAUCUACCAUGUUCUUGGAUAGGCAGAAUUAAUAUUGUCAAAAUGGCCAUACUAGGUUGUAGCUCAGUGGUAGAGCACUUGCCUAGCAUGCAUGAAGCCCUGAGUUCAUUCCUCAGCAUCAAAUAAAAAAUAAACAAAUAAAAUAAAGGUAUUGUGUCCACGUAUAACUAAAAACAUAUUUUUUAAAAAUGGCCAUACUACCCAAAGCACUAUGCAUAUUUUAAUGCAAUUCCUAUUAAAAUUCCAAUGUAGUUCUUUAUAGAAAUAGAAAAAGCAGUCAUGAAGUUCAUUUGGAAAACUAAGAGGUCCAGAAUGGUCAAAGCAAUCCUUAGCAAAAAAAGUGAAGCCGGAGCCAGGUGUGGUGGUGUACGCCUGUAAUCUCAGCGGCUCAGGAGGCUGAGUCACAAGGAUCACGAGUUCAAAGUCAGCCUCAGCAACAGCAAGGCGUUAAGCAACUCAGUGAGAUCCUGUCUUUAAACAAAAUACAAAAUAGGGCUGGGGAUGUGGCUCAGUGGUCGAGUGCCCCUGAGUUCAAUCAGUACCCCCCCCCCAAAAAAAAAAGAUAAAAGAAAAGUGAAGGAGGAGGCAGCACAAUACCAGACCUUAAAUUAUACUGUAGAGCUAUAGUAACAAAAACAGCAUGGUAUUGGCACCCAAACAGACAUGAAGACCAAUGCAACAGAAUAGAAGACACAGAGACAAACCCACAUAAGUACAGUUAUCUCAUACUAGAUGAAGGUGCCAUAAGCAUACAUUGGAGAAGAGAUAGCCUCUUCAACAAAUGGUGCUGGAAAACUGAAAAUCCAUAUGCAAAUAAAAUGAAAUUAAACCUUUACCUCUCACCCUUCAUGAAACUCAACUCAAAUCAGAUCAAGGAUCCAAGCAGGCAUCUUAUGCUGUCUUCUUUGGACAUGAAAGUAGCUUUGGACAGAACCAGGAAGCUCAUGCAUCUUUUCGACUUGAGGAUUAAAAGCUUCCAAGAGAGGUUAUUAGCCCAGGGACAGAGGUCUCCCACCUGAGGAGCACAGCUCAAACACGUUAGAAAGAAAAGGAAACAAACUCAUUGGAGUUUGUUUUAAUGCUCCCUAGAAAGUCAUUUUAUAUGGAAAACGUGCAUUUUGGAAGCUCUGAAUACUUAAAAACACACAUGAGAAAGGGAUUCGUUCUAAAACCUGAAUCUUUGUCUGGCUCCUGACUCCUCUGAAGCAUCAGUAGGUUAGUGAUUUCUGUUUAUGAUACCACAUGGAAAUAAAUCUAAAUUUGUUUUGAUUUUUCUGAUUUUCU